This 29-nucleotide non-coding RNA is filed under the name Mus musculus (house mouse). The record is from RNAcentral. Lineage: Eukaryota; Metazoa; Chordata; Mammalia; Rodentia; Muridae.
UGAUUACCUCUUCAUGCCGUUUUCUCUCA